CUCACCUGAAGAGGGAGUAAUUGUUUGGGACACUUAUGAUUUGCUGUUCAAAUUCCAGCUCCUCCCUGGUGUGCCUAGGACACUUCUUUCUCUGGACUACAGACUCCUGUGAAGUGCUUCCACUGACAUUCUGGCAAAGGCUGGAACAAGAAAAGGAAAUCUCCCCAGAGUUCGACCUGUAGGAUCAAACUCAUCAGCCCCCAAGUAAGAGAAACCUACUUACCCAUAAACAUGAUGGCUGCAA
This 244-nucleotide long non-coding RNA is filed under the name Chrysolophus pictus (golden pheasant). RNAcentral describes it as "lncRNA (ENSCPIG00010010767.1)". Lineage: Eukaryota; Metazoa; Chordata; Aves; Galliformes; Phasianidae. The record is from RNAcentral.